This 486-nucleotide ribosomal RNA is filed under the name Rhodotorula graminis. Its description in RNAcentral is "eukaryotic LSU rRNA". It matches the Rfam family "Eukaryotic large subunit ribosomal RNA", at positions 132 to 643 of the family's 3401-position model. Lineage: Eukaryota; Fungi; Basidiomycota; Microbotryomycetes; Sporidiobolales; Sporidiobolaceae. The record is from RNAcentral.
CGGUGUCCGAGUUGUAAUCUCUAGAAGUGUUUUCCGCGUGGACCGCACACAAGUUGGAAUACAGCGGCUAGUGGUGAAACCCCCGUAUAUGGUGCGGACGCCCAGCGCGUGAUACACUUUAAUGAGUCGAGUUGUUUGGGAAUGCAGCUCAAAUUGGGUGGUAAAUUCCAUCUAAAGCUAAAUAUUGGCGAGAGACCGAUAGCGAACAAGUACCGUGAGGGAAAGAUGAAAAGCACUUUGGAAAGAGAGUUAACAGUACGUGAAAUUGUUGGAAGGGAAACGCUUGAAGUCAGACUUGCUUGCCGGAGCUUGCUUCGGUUUGCAGGCCAGCAUCAGUUUUCCGGGGUGGAUAAUGACGGUUUGAAGGUAGCAGUCUCGGCUGUGUUAUAGCUUUCCGUUGGAUACCUGGGGGACUGAGGAACGCAGCGUGCUUUUUGCGAAAGACUCGUCUUUUUCACGCUUAGGAUGCUGGUGGAAUGGCUUUAA